AGCUUGCUGGGUGGAUUACUGGCGAAUAGGUGAGUAACACGUGAGUAACCUGCCCUUAACUCUGGGAUAAGCCUGGGAAACUAGGUCUAAUACCGGAUAGGAGCGUCCACCGCAUGGUGGGUGUUGGAAAGAUUUAUCGGUUUUGGAUGGACUCGCGGCCUAUCAGCUUGUUGGUGAGGUAAUGGCUCACCAAGGCGACGACGGGUAGCCGGCCUGAGAGGGUGACCGGCCACACUGGGACUGAGACACGGCCCAGACUCCUACGGGAGGCAGCAGUGGGGAAUAUUGCACAAUGGGCGCAAGCCUGAUGCAGCGACGCCGCGUGAGGGAUGACGGCCUUCGGGUUGUAAACCUCUUUCAGUAGGGAAGAAGCGAAAGUGACGGUACCUGCAGAAGAAGCACCGGCUAACUACGUGCCAGCAGCCGCGGUAAUACGUAGGGUGCGAGCGUUAUCCGGAAUUAUUGGGCGUAAAGAGCUCGUAGGCGGUUUGUCGCGUCUGUCGUGAAAGUCCGGGGCUUAACCCCGGAUCUGCGGUGGGUACGGGCAGACUAGAGUGCAGUAGGGGAGACUGGAAUUCCUGGUGUAGCGGUGGAAUGCGCAGAUAUCAGGAGGAACACCGAUGGCGAAGGCAGGUCUCUGGGCUGUAACUGACGCUGAGGAGCGAAAGCAUGGGGAGCGAACAGGAUUAGAUACCCUGGUAGUCCAUGCCGUAAACGUUGGGCACUAGGUGUGGGGACCAUUCCACGGUUUCCGCGCCGCAGCUAACGCAUUAAGUGCCCCGCCUGGGGAGUACGGCCGCAAGGCUAAAACUC
Molecule: ribosomal RNA, 813 nt
Rfam family: Bacterial small subunit ribosomal RNA